Arabidopsis lyrata subsp. lyrata is the source of this 1333-nucleotide RNA transcript. RefSeq lists it as uncharacterized. The transcript is spliced from 4 exons. The record is from RefSeq and is a predicted model, not a curated record. Lineage: Eukaryota; Viridiplantae; Streptophyta; Magnoliopsida; Brassicales; Brassicaceae.
AUCUAAAAGCAAGGUUGGUCUUUAGUUUCUCUUACUUUCGGUAAAACUCUGCGGAUGAAAUCUUACUCUCAUAGGUCUCGUCAGCAACAGAGUUUACUGAUAAAGAAUCAGAAAAGCAUGACGAAUCUGAUGAUGGAGAACAGGAGAAGCAACAAGGGCUAAAGCAAGAACGUGAGAGUUUGGAGAAGAAAAGAUGAAGAAGGGUUGAGAGGAAGAACAAGGAGAAUUAGUUGACGAUUUGAGUGUAGUAAAACAAAGAAAUCAGAGUUAUCCUUGCUCGAGUAUGAUUAUGUUCCCAAGCUGGUUGUAUUCGUGGAUUCAAAUCUGCCAUGUCUAGCACGCCAAGUGUUCGACGAUAUUCCAUACUUGAAUGUUGUCUCUGCUACAUCGGAAAUAUAAACGGUAAUGUAUAUGUCCUUUGCUUCGAGACAGAACAUGAGUAAUGAUGAUGGUUGGUUUAGUUUCUAGGUCUGGAAUUGAGAAGUUAGAAUGAAAUUGGUUAGUAAGAGUGUUUGCUUGUAAAUGAGAAGGUGAAUGGGCUAGUCUAAGUGGAGGAUACAUGCUUUAUUCAUCUAUGUGUUUGCAGAUUUUAAAUGGUUAGUGAUUUGUUUGAUCUCUCUGUUUCUCUUAUUUUGCUCAUCUUUUGAGUAAUCGUUAAUUCUUAUUUGAUUUUGGAUAUCAAAACUAUGUUUCUUGCAGCAAUUUUGUAUCACAGAUGGAUACUCAACAUUGUUGAAAGUUUUCAUCUCUUGUUCUUGAGGAGGAUGAAGAAGUAUGGAUUACAAAUUCUUUUGGUCAAGGCUAGUUUAAUUCCCAUUAAAUGAGAUUGGAAUUCUUAUCCCUUGAUACUUCAAGAAAAUAGAGACAAUGAUAACAUGAUGGAACUAUCAUAUUCGGCUAUCGCAAAGCUUGAUCAAGCAAAACAGAAUGAGAUCCAACCUUCUUCAUAAAAAUUAGAAGGUUAUUUACUUUACUUCGUCUUUGUUACUCUUGAUGGUUUUGGUUUUGGCAAUUUCAGUUCCAAACUAAUUCAGGCUAUCCACAAGCUUUCCUUUCGGCAUCAAGACUUCAAGGACUAUUGUUGCUUUGGAGAAGGCAGUGAAGUGAGAAUUGCUUGGAAUGAGACAACCUAAGUUCUUUGAAGGAGAGAAAGAGCAAGCUAAUGGGAAGGCAACGCACAUAGAGGGGAUGAGAUUGAAGUUGUCUUUAGAAUGUUAGCUUUAUUUUGUUUAAAACUUGGUAUGAUGUUAUGUUAAAAUGGAUAAUGUAAUAAUAUUGUUAUGUAUGUUGAUGAUUUAUGAAAUAUAAACAUUAUAUUAUAAAUCCAAUUAAA